Molecule: long non-coding RNA, 996 nt
Organism: Callithrix jacchus (white-tufted-ear marmoset)
Lineage: Eukaryota; Metazoa; Chordata; Mammalia; Primates; Cebidae
Source: RefSeq, a predicted model, not a curated record
GAAGAGGUGCUUGCUUCCCGUUCCCUUCUGCCAUGCUUGUAAGUUUCCUGAGACCUCCCCAGCCAUGCCUCCUGGACAGCCUGUGGAACUGCAAUUCUCUUUGAUUUGCAAGUACUCAUUUUACAUCAGGAAAUCCACCUCCCACCCCAAAUCAUCUAAAAUGACACAUACAACUGGAUCGAGUAACUGGUAACUGUGCCUAAAUAUCACCCAGCAGAAAAAUGAAAAAUAAUAAAAGAAAAUAUGGGUAAGAUCACUUAGGAUAUCUACAAUGCACAAAGACAAAAAGCAAAAACCUGGGACAACUGACAUUUAAAAAGAGGUCAUAGAAGAAUGAAGAAAUAAGGACAUAACAAUGAGUGCACAAGAUGACAGUAUCAGAAAGCAAGAAAGCAGCAGCCUGGACGCAGAGUCAAAUGCCUCAGAGAGAUGGAAUAGGAUGAGGAUUAAAGACACUACUAGUAAUCAGAUGAUUACUAACCAUGACAAGAGAUUCAGGAAAACAAGUGGGGUAAAAGCCUGACUCGACUGAGUUGAAAAGAGAAUUGAGGAAAUAACGGUAAAGAAUCUGAUUUUGAAGGGAAGAUCAGGAAAAACAAAGCCAUAGCUGAAAAGUUCAGGUUAAUUAUUAGCCUGCCUUUAUCUGUGUCCAUCAUAGAGUGCAGAACUCACUACUAUGAUGCCAAGGGAGUCACAUUUAUUCUCCCUGUCCUGUUUUAUUCUAAUAUGGGAAUAAAGGUGUUAUGGGUUGAAUUGAUCACCUACUGCUACAGAUGAUGGAUUCUAAGAGGAAAAAAACCUAGACGGGACAUAUUAGUCAGUCACAGUAUAUACCACCAACUUUUCUCUUCCUGGAACAACAAUAUAAGAAAAACAUAAGGGUCCUCAAAACUUGCAGAAGCUCUAUUAGUCUAAAAGAAUGCUUAUCUUGUUCUAAAUGCAAACAUAGUCAUCAGAAUUCUCAUCAGCUCCCAAGAAAGGAAAAAAGAAAGAAAG